This 291-nucleotide long non-coding RNA is filed under the name Ananas comosus (pineapple). RNAcentral's name for it is "long non-coding RNA (ACOM_LNC040738)". Lineage: Eukaryota; Viridiplantae; Streptophyta; Magnoliopsida; Poales; Bromeliaceae. The record is from RNAcentral.
AGUUAGCCGUUUUCGUCGAAUUUCGAUGUAAUAUACCAGAUUUUGGUAUAAGAAUAGAAGUAAAUAAAAAUAGUGUGAGAUACUAUUUUUAUUUGGUUUUUGAGAAGCAAUGUAUAAGUCUAUAAUGACUUGUGCUGAAAUCGGAAUGAAAACAGAAGAUUUAUAAUUUUCUGUUGAAAACGAGACAGAUAAAUUAGCAAAAAAGUACAGAGUCUCAGAAAAUUAUGAAAAUUGGAGGAUAGGUCAGAAAUAUUUUUAUGAGGCUAGAUUUAAAGUUUCAUAUUUUUCUGA